RNAcentral lists this ribosomal RNA (490 nucleotides) under uncultured bacterium. RNAcentral describes it as "partial 16S ribosomal RNA". It matches the Rfam family "Bacterial small subunit ribosomal RNA", at positions 30 to 507 of the family's 1533-position model. The record is from RNAcentral.
AUUGAACGCUGGCGGCAGGCCUAACACAUGCAAGUCGAACGGUAACAGGAAGAAGCUUGCUUCUUUGCUGACGAGUGGCGGACGGGUGAGUAAUGUCUGGGAAACUGCCUGAUGGAGGGGGAUAACUACUGGAAACGGUAGCUAAUACCGCAUAACGUCGCCAGACCAAAGAGGGGGACCUUCGGGCCUCUUGCCAUCGGAUGUGCCCAGAUGGGAUUAGCUAGUAGGUGGGGUAACGGCUCACCUAGGCGACGAUCCCUAGCUGGUCUGAGAGGAUGACCAGCCACACUGGAACUGAGACACGGUCCAGACUCCUACGGGAGGCAGCAGUGGGGAAUAUUGCACAAUGGGCGCAAGCCUGAUGCAGCCAUGCCGCGUGUAUGAAGAAGGCCUUCGGGUUGUAAAGUACUUUCAGCGGGGAGGAAGGGAGUAAAGUUAAUACCUUUGCUCAUUGACGUUACCCGCAGAAGAAGCACCGGCUAACUCCGUG